CGGGACAGGGGGGAGGGGUCGCUCCCCCGGGGUCCGGUCACCUCUCGGGGGUCAUCCCGCCACCCGGCCCCCCGCACCUCUACCCUCUCUCUGUCCAUGGGGCCCCCAAGCAAACUUUCCCUGGAAGAGUUGGAAGGGCACUUUCAAACUUUGUCCCUUCCCCCUCCUCUGUCGUCUCUCCCCCAGCGCGCCCCCUGACCUCUGCAUCCAGAGUCUCUCCUGAGGUCAAUCCCCCAAUGCUGCCUGGGUCCCCUGAGGGAACGAGGAGGGGUCUCUUGAGUCGCCUCCUCUCCUCAAAGACCCCCGCGUCUCCCAUGUAUCCUAACCGGGAAUUCAUUUCUAUACCUCCCUCAGCCUAGGAGUGUUGGGGUGUCAGAGGCAGAGCUCGCUGCCCCCACCCCUGAGGCCCAUCCUGGGGGUCCAGUCCGCCUCCCAAAGCCCCUUGAAAGCAGUUGGGGGUGGGGGGAGGCAGAGCGGGCAGUGGUCCACAAUGGAGGAGCUGCCCUAGAUGCUAAAACAAGAGACUGUCCUGGGGGCCCCUGGGAUGAGGAGAGGCCCUGAGUGCUUUGGGAACUUGGGAAAACCGGGCUCUAGGGGAGCGGUCGGGGAGGGGGUAGUGUUCCUCGGGUCCUGACUAAUCCUCGAAAGUGUGCAGUUGUUCAGGGAGCCGUGGCCGGGACCACCGCCAUUUUGCUGGGAGGAUGCGAUGUCUUUGUUAAAACGUACACAUCUUCUCCUGUGCUGCCUGGCAGACAGGAGCUCUAGAGAGGCUAAGAGCCUUGUCCAAGAUGGGUCAACCUGAAGGAGGGUGACAGGCCGACAGACUCCCAAGCCAGUGACUUUCCCACUGCACCUCCUGUGGUCUCCAGAGACCUUGCAAGACACGCACUCAUUCUGGACUUCGGAAUGCUAAGAUGUUCGCUUGAUGUGUGUGUUGCACUGAGGUUAACGUAAGAAACAUCACCAGUGCCACGGGAGCCCCCUUUGUGCCCUGAUCACAUCUCCGUGACCUCUGACCUGAAAUUUUUCUUGCUUUCCAGGCAAUGUUGCUGUGACUUUUCUACUGCAAGUGCGCUGGCGCAAACAGGAAGGAGUUGCGUUAUGCACAGCUUCAGCUUUACCAGGUCGUGCCGGCUGCUCUCUACAAGCUGCCAUCUUGGUGAUGAUUAGGGAAAGGCACAAUGAAGGUGGCGAGACCACUGGAGGCCCUCCCCGCUCUGCAGGAAAACAAUCGCAAACCCACGUGGAUCGAGAGUCAAAGGAUGGACAGAGAGACAAACUCACACUGCAGGACAGAGGCCUGAGCAUGCAGGUGACAGCUUCACAGUUAAACUUUAACUGAGUUCACUGAACUAAGCUUUAGCCAAUUUCCCAGGAUUUGAAGCAACAGAACACAUCACCAAGGCAAAGACCGAGGGUUUUGACCCCACAGAGAUAGUCUAACCUCCCGCGUGGACAGCAUCUUGGGAAGGCUCCGUGCCGCUCACACGGGAGAGGAGCCACACGUGUAGACAGGGGCAAUGUCUACGAUACGUUCACUGAGAAAAGCAAGCUAAGAACAAUGUGUGUGUGGGACCCUCAUUUUAACAAAAUAGGGAAAUUAGAGCGCUCUGUACAGGUGCGCAAUAAUAGUUCACGUUUACUGAGCAGUUACUGUAGGCCCGCACUGGGCCAAGUGCUCUCUUGAUGGGUACUGACGCCCUGGAUCUUUCGCUGUCAUUGUCACUUCCUUGGACAGAUGGGCGAGGAACUUGCCAAAAGGGAUCUGACUGUAUCUCUUAACCAGCUCUCAAAGCUGUCCCUCCCGUACGCAGGGGACCAGGUGGGUAAAUCUGUGGCUGGUCUCAGGAGCCCCAGGAGGAAUGAGCUCCGGGCGCCAAGCCCUUCCUCAUGCGGGUCAGUGGGAUUGGCGGCCACCUGACCCACUGGGGCAGUCCUGACCAAGGUCGGCUGGCAAAGAGGAUGCCUGUGCCUCAAAAGAGGGUACUCACUCAAUGGAAAAAGGGAAGUGGACAGGUGACCCAAGCUCAGAGCCAGAGGCCAGGCAUUGGGAUGGGGGCAGACGCCACGUGGGGCUUGCUGCUGGUCCCACCCCUCUGGCAUCAUUUCCGCUUCAGGGAGCAAGGACUGAGCUCGUAGUAUGAACGAGAGGGCUAUACCCUCGGGGUCCACGGGCAGGCAGGGCAGGGCCUUGUGGUGGUGAGACUGGCCUCCUUUGGAUGGAGUGGAUCCCUUAGGACUCUCAGACUAUUCUGGAAGACACCUCAAGAGGGAGACGCUGGGCUUCUUACCAAUAAAUGCGUGAGGGUGCAUGAGAGAUUGGUGAAAAAUCAGCCACAUGGCACUGUGACCUGGGUCAUUCUCCAGGCUGGGCCAAUGGGCCGUGGGUGUGUGCCUGCGUGCCUGCCACCUUAGUGGCAACAGUUUUCUCUGAGAAGUGGAAUUGGGUCAUGGGGCGCUUUUAGUUUUUACUUUAUACACAUCUAUAUUGUUUUAGUUUGAUGAACAAUAAGCAGGUAUUACUUUUGUAAUAAAGAAAGAACCUUCAUAAUGUCAAAACCUACAUACGAUGAAAAGGCAAAAAUAUAUAUAGAAAAAACCCUUCAGAGUAAAUAUGACGAAUGGUAAGCAUCCUUAUGGUGUAGACUAGUGCUACAUGUUCUCAAGAGAAAAAUGGUAACGCCCCAAUGGGACAAAGUACGUGAACAGAUCGUUUAUAGACGAGUAAAUACCAGGAGCUGAUUUGAUCUCAUGAGUCAGCAAAACGUGCAGCUUUAAGCAACAGUGAUGUCAUAUUUGUCCCCUUUCACAUUAACCAAGAUUCUUAGAAAUGAUAACAGUGCUGGCGAGAGCGGAGGGGGAGGGGCGCUCCCUGACCCGACUCACCAGGGACGCCGUGCGUUCGAUCAGCGUGGUUAGAUAACAAUUUGCCACUAGGAAUCCAGAGCCGUGAAUUGUUCAGACUCAACCUGGACCCAAUCGUGCAAAAAGAACUGGAUAAACCCACACUGAGGGACGUUCUGCAAGAUGACAGGCCUGGGCCCUCCAAAAUCGUUGAAGUCACUGAAGACUACGGAAGGCAGGAGAUGUUCCAGACUGAAGGAGACGGAAGAGCCCUGCGACUGGACCCUGGAUUUAAAAAAGAUUCUAAAAGACGUUAUAGAAACAAUUGAGGAAAUUUGAAUGUGAAUUGUAUAUUAGAUGAUAUUGGGCCUGUGUUCCAGUCUUUUUUUUUAAAGAUUUUUUUUUUUUCCUUUUCCUCUCCAAUCCCCCCAGUACAUAGUUGUAUAUUUUAGUUGUGGGUCCUUCUGGUUGUGGCAUGUAGGAUGCUGCCUCAGUGUGACCUGAUGAGCAGUGCCAUGUCCACACCCAGGAUCCGAACCAGUGAAACCCUGGGCCGCCAAAGCAGAGCUCGCGAACUUAACCACCCGGCCACAGGGUCUGCCCCUGUGUUCCAGCCUUGAAUGUGCUCACUGGAUUGUGGUUGUGGAGGCUGGGUGUCCUUUUGCUUGAGAGACAUGUGCUGAAGGAUUGAGAGUGUCGUGAUGUCGGCAACUCAGAUCAGUCUGCAAAAUACAUGUGUUUAGACGUGAUGCAGCUGUAUGGAUCGACGAUCUGUGUAUGCGUAGACACAGGUGUCAAGAGAGAGCACAAGAGAGAAAUAAAAAGCGCAAAAUGGCAACAAUCUUGAACCUGGGCAAGGGAUGUGUGGGAAUUUAUUGUACUAUUCUUGCAACUCGUCUGUAGGUUUGAAAACCUAUCGACUAAGUUGGAGGGAAAGUGUUCG
Molecule: long non-coding RNA, 3787 nt
Organism: Equus asinus (donkey)
Lineage: Eukaryota; Metazoa; Chordata; Mammalia; Perissodactyla; Equidae
Source: Ensembl